This 253-nucleotide unclassified non-coding RNA is filed under the name uncultured Enterobacteriaceae bacterium. RNAcentral describes it as "contains 16S-23S intergenic spacer region". It matches the Rfam family "Bacterial small subunit ribosomal RNA", at positions 524 to 776 of the family's 1533-position model. The record is from RNAcentral. Lineage: Bacteria; Pseudomonadati; Pseudomonadota; Gammaproteobacteria; Enterobacterales; Enterobacteriaceae.
UACGGAGGGUGCAAGCGUUAUUCGGAAUUACUGGGCGUAAAGCGCACGUAGGCGGUCUGUUAAGUCGGAUGUGAAAUCCCCGUGCUCAACCUGGGAACUGCAUCUGAAACUGGCAGGCUUGAGUCUUGUAGAGGGUGGUAGAAUUCCAGGUGUAGCGGUGAAAUGCGUAGAGAUCUGGAGGAAUACCGGUUGCGAAGGCGGCCCGCUGGACAAAGACUGACGCUCAGGUGCGAAAGCGUGGGGAGCAAACAGG